GAUGAACGCUGGCGGCGUGCCUAAUACAUGCAAGUCGAGCGAACAGACGAGGAGCUUGCUCCUCUGACGUUAGCGGCGGACGGGUGAGUAACACGUGGAUAACCUACCUAUAAGACUGGGAUAACUUCGGGAAACCGGAGCUAAUACCGGAUAAUAUAUUGAACCGCAUGGUUCAAUAGUGAAAGACGGUUUUGCUGUCACUUAUAGAUGGAUCCGCGCCGCAUUAGCUAGUUGGUAAGGUAACGGCUUACCAAGGCAACGAUGCGUAGCCGACCUGAGAGGGUAGAGGGCCAAACGGGAACUGAGACACGGUCCAAACCCGCAGGGGAGGCAGAAGUGGGGAAUCUUCCGAAAGGGGGAAAAGCCUGAGGGGGAAACGCCGGGGGAGGAAUAAAGGUUUUCGGAUCGAAAAACUUUUUUAUUGGGGAAAAACAAAUGUGAAAGUAACUAUGCCCGUCUUAAGGGGACCAAAACAGAAGGCCACGGCAAACUACGU
RNAcentral lists this ribosomal RNA (496 nucleotides) under uncultured bacterium. RNAcentral describes it as "partial 16S ribosomal RNA". It matches the Rfam family "Bacterial small subunit ribosomal RNA", at positions 28 to 506 of the family's 1533-position model. The record is from RNAcentral.